GAGCAGUCUGUUAGCAAUAAGGGGAGAAGGUGUUGGUACUAAAACAAUCCCAAACUCCUACAGGUUGUUUGAGUGGUGGAGGGAUGGGAAGAAGGAGGGACGGUUUCCUGCCAUCUAACACAGCCUAAUUACAAAACAACACCGCUCUGUGGAGGUGGGGGGGUGGAGGGGGGAGGCUCAACCGCCUGUCGAGCGCAAAAGAUUGAUGAUGUUAGUGUGACCUGCAGAGGGGAGACCCACCCAGACACCAGCGCUACACUUUCAGCUCCUGUCAGGGAGGGCAGCAGCGGCCCCAUCGCCAAACAUCCACGAGGAGACACCAGCAAACCACCGCCACCUGUCCCGCCCCAGCCAGCUGUGAUCUCCACUACGCCUUCAGCAGCUUCAUUGUAGGAACAGAGAUCGUGAUGGAAACAGAGACAAUUCUACCCCGGCCAGCGAGGAAGUGACAUGCAUCUACGUCUGGCACGUCAGGGAGACAGCUCGUGAUGGAUGGUGUCUGGCUGGAGCAUCUCCUCCUCUUCGGUCCUUCCCUCCGUCACAUCUGAAGACGGGCUGGACAAAGACUGCCUGACAGGCGACUCGGGCGGCCUCUCAGCAGGCAGGAGUGAUGGACGAGGCUGAACAGGAUGCAGCUUCUCUUGUUUCUGGUCUCACCCCCCCUCAAUCCCUACCCUCCACCUGUCCGAGUCCUCAUGGGGGAUGACUCGUGCCCCACCAGGCGCCCCCCAGUGAGGGAAGUGAUGUCUAAACAGAGCUGACCCUGACAGGAGGGACAUAGCCUGGCCUGUCCUGCAUGUUGGAGUGAUGGGUGAAUGAUGUACUUACAAACUGCUCGGCGCAGGAAGUCGGUCGUAGCGGGGAUGGAGAGCGCAGGAAACGAAGGAGGGGAAAAAAGAGAAGGAGGUUAGUGAGAGAGGUGAUGGAUUUGGGUGAAAUCACCUGACAAUACAGUGGUCCCUCACUAUCUCAGGGCUCAAAUUUCUGAGUUUUGACGAAAUUUCUUCAGUGUAAUUUAGCUUUUUUGACAAAUUUACGUAAAUCUUGGAUCCCUGUCAAACCUUAGUUUUUAAUUGUAUAAUACAGGAUUUAUUUUUAAAAGUUUAAAGUUUGAGAGUUUAAACAGAAAAGUGUAAAAAUGUUAACAUCUGUCAAAGAAAGUGCAUAAGAGUAUGCAGGGAAGGGUUUUACAUCCAUGAAAAGAUGAAGACUAUAACACCAUGUUAUCUCCACUUUGAGGCACACUUACAAACCUAAACUUUUAACUCCACUUCGCCUAAUAAUCUUAACGUAUAGAUUCAUUCUGGUUGUGUUUACUGAUGUCAGAGCAAGCUUGAGAGGUUUUUUAAGAGUUACAAACAAAGUUGGGCGUUAGCAUAAACACGCUAACGUGUUUAGCGAUGUUGGACUGUGUUUUUUUUACGGUACUAACAAGGUUGGGAGUUAGAGGUAUAGUAAAUACACAAACAUGGCUAACGUUUACCAGUGUAAAACAUUUUUUAAAUGUAUUAGCAAGGUUUGAAGUCAGCGUAAUCACAUUAGGCUAACAGUUUCAGUGUGUUUUUCUCCCUGUUACUAGCAUGGUAGGAAGUUAGUGUGGUCACGGUAAUGUUUAUUUUAGCGAUGUCAUUCUGUUCUUUUUCCAUGUUACUAGCUAGGUCAGAGCUUAGCUUAGUCACAGUAAUAUUUGUUUUAGCAGUAUCACUUUUCACAUGUUGCAAAUAAGCUCGGGAGUUACAGGUAUUGUAAAUACGCUAACACGGCUAGCAUAUAGCAGUGACGGACAGUGUUCUUUUCACGUUCAAAUAAAAAUAAAGUUGGGAGUUAGCGUAGUCACAGUAGUUUUUUUAUUUUUUUAGCUGUGUCAGUCCCUAUAUUUACACAUUACUGACAUGGUUGAAAUUUACAGGGAUUGUGAACACGCUAACGCAGCUAACAUGUAGCAGUGUCGGAUUGUGCUUAUUUUAUGUCUUACCAACAAGUUUUGGAGUUCGGGUAGUCACAGAAAUGUUAAUUUUAGUCUGUAUUUUCAUGUUGCUAGCAUGGUUAGGGAUUAGUGUAGUCACAGUAAUGCUUGAUUUAGCUGUAUCAGUCUGUUUUUUACAAGUUGCAAAUAAGGUUGGGAGUUACAGGUAUUCAAAAUACAGUAACAUGAUUAACGUACAGCAGUGUCGCAUUCUGUUUUUUUUUUUUUUUUUUACGUGUAACUAGCAUGGUUGGGAGUUAGCGUAGUCACCAUAACAUUUGUUUUAGCAGUAUCAGUCUUUAUUUGUACUUGUUACUAGCAAGCUUAGCAGUUACAGGUAUUGCGAAUACGCUAACCCAGCUAACGGUUAGCAGUGUCGGACUUUGUUUAUUUUACGUGUUACCAACACAGUUUGGAGCUAGCAUAGUCACAGUAACAUUUGUUUUAGCGCUAUCAGUCUGUUAUUUUCAUAUGUUACCAACAAGGUUAGAAGUUACAGGCAUUGUGAAUAUGCUAGGCGGCUAACAUGUAGCGUACUACGAACGAGUUCUAGAGUUACUGUGAACACAGUUAAUAAAAUUUGACUGACUGACUAUCGCUGACUCUAGUCUCACUUCAAGUGCCCCAUAGUUCGUUGCUCCUUAUCUAUGACAUAAGUUUGACGAAAAGAUAAUGAAUUAGAGAUGCACCUUUUAAUCUUAUAGUGCUGAAGAUAUGGAACUUUGUGGUUUUCAUAUAUUCCAGGUUAUUUUUAGAACAUAACCCGGACCAACAAGGGACCGCUGUAUUAGAACUUUAAACCUUUGGUGAGCACAGGAAGUACUCGAAUGCUGCUAGGAUGAUGGGUAAUCCCUUCAGUCCAGGUCAAACACCAGAUUUAAAGCUACUCAGUCAUGUGGUACGCUAGGAUAAACUUCUGCAAAAUCAAGGGAUGUGUAUCGAACCCUUACAGCUCCAACUUUUUCUGUUUUCUCAAAAAAAAAAAAAA
Molecule: long non-coding RNA, 2954 nt
Organism: Oryzias melastigma (Indian medaka)
Lineage: Eukaryota; Metazoa; Chordata; Actinopteri; Beloniformes; Adrianichthyidae
Exons: 2
Source: RefSeq, a predicted model, not a curated record